CUUCUCUGCAGUGCUGCCUUCUCUCUAGACUGUGAGUGGCGGGGCUGGGGACAUCGC
This 57-nucleotide non-coding RNA is filed under the name Mus musculus (house mouse). RNAcentral also lists the same sequence under 1 other name. Lineage: Eukaryota; Metazoa; Chordata; Mammalia; Rodentia; Muridae. The record is from miRBase by way of RNAcentral.